UUCAUACAAGAUGGUGGAUUUUUGUCUCUGACAGGUAGGAAGGGGUUUUGUGUGGUUUUUUUUUUUUGGAUCCGUCUUUUACAUUUUCUUUCAUUCCGCUCGCCUGGUUCGGCUCCACCCCUCGGUGGUAGACAAGUGGGAGGGUGAACGGCUGGAGCAUGCCUCUUCGGUCAUGUACAAUGGUUUCCCCCGUGCCGUUCCGGACGGAGUACCUGCACUUCAACAAUGAAGAGAUCUUUGUGAACGAACUUACCUUCACUCCAGCUCUCGUUUCCUUUUCAUAAGGAAAAACAAAAUAUCGGUACAAAGAUCUGCCUCCACUCCAGACGCAGCUGUGUCUUAAGCAGAGACUUGGCUUGAUUGACAGAAUCACCCACAUGAGGCGUAACCUACACUCCGCCGACUCG
Molecule: non-coding RNA, 407 nt
Organism: Thamnophis sirtalis
Lineage: Eukaryota; Metazoa; Chordata; Lepidosauria; Squamata; Natricidae
Source: RefSeq, a predicted model, not a curated record